UACGUAGGGUGCGAGCGUUAAUCGGAAUUACUGGGCGUAAAGCGUGCGCAGGCGGCUUUGCAAGACAGAUGUGAAAUCCCCGGGCUCAACCUGGGAACUGCAUUUGUGACUGCAAGGCUAGAGUACGGGAGAGGGGGAUGGAAUUCCGCGUGUAGCAGUGAAAUGCGUAGAUAUGCGGAGGAACACCAAUGGCGAAGGCAAUCCCCUGGGCCUGUACUGAC
Molecule: ribosomal RNA, 221 nt
Filed under: uncultured bacterium
Lineage: Bacteria
Description: partial 16S ribosomal RNA
Rfam family: Bacterial small subunit ribosomal RNA
Source: RNAcentral